GCACCAGAGCCGUGGAGAGGCACAGUACGGAGGGAGAGAUGAUGAUGAAGAUGGGGGAGGAGAAAUGAAGAAAGGAUGGUUUUUACACCUCUGCCUCUUUCCUUUCAUUUCAUUUGUGUCAUUUGUGUGUCGCAGGCUGUGAAAGCUCCUCCAUGUGUUUUUCAGAGAAGUUACUGAUGGAACGCAUUCUGCUGUUGGCAAUCCUGCCCGGUCUUCUACUAGCUGACCCUGCUAACUUUACAGCUCCAAACACCACUUUAACUGUUCCUAAGACACCUCACACAGCAAGCUCAGCACAUGAGAACAUAAGAAUCACGACACCCACCACUACAAAGCUCCCACCUGAACUGUUCAGGCUGAAGGUGUACUGGGACAAAAAAAAUGUGUGCCAGGGCAAAAUAGUCCAUUUUACUGGUAAAAGAAAGACUAAGGGUCUUUGUGCCAACCCUGCGUUACGGAAACUCAGCAUGGAGCUGUGUGAGGAGAGAAGAUGUGGAAAGUUCCUGGAGUUUUCUUACGAUUUGACUGCUGAUCAUAACGGUCACAUGAUCAACGAUAACCUAAUACCUGGGAGCUCUCAAGGGUGCGAGAUUGUAUCCAAUGUAAUCUGUGAAGGCAACAAUGAACUGCUGACCUAUAAGGUAAUAACAGGCCUGCUGCUGGUGCUGAUUCUGGCUGUCCUCCUCUUUCGAUUUGCACGACCGGCAUACAACGCCUUCCGCAAGAGAUUUUCCAAGAAGCAUCAGAAUCGAUGGAUCGGCCCGACGCAGAGUCAGAGUGUGUCCUAUCACAGAGGCCAGGGUCUUCAUCUAAAGGCCGAUACAGGCAAAAGACAAUCUUAUCCUGGUUUGGAGAUACCUUCAUCAAACAGGAACAGUGAAUACGACUCGUACAGCUACACUUAAUCACCCCUCGGCUUGCGGGAUCACAGCGCGGGAGCAGCAGCGGGCUUUGAUUUGUGUAAACGAUCACAUGAAGGUUUUUUUUCCUUUCCACACAUAUGACCUAUAGCUCUGUGCUGUUGUGCUCAGUGGAAUCGAGGCAAGAAAAAAAAAAUUACGUCAACGCAAAACAAUUGAAACGAUCUAAAAUAUUACAAUUGUGCAAACUGACAAAUAACAAGUUUUGGGAGUUAGUGAGGGUGUUACCCCACACUUAUCUGUUCAUCUGUUCCAUCACAAAUCUGCAAAUCUCUGUAGUAAACAAGUGUCAGAAAGCAAGGUAAACAAUGUUGCUUAUUUAUUUAUUUGCUUGAUUGCUUAAUAAGAGAUUUAUACCAGCAAGUGCUUUACCAAACAGGAUUUCUUGUAAAUGUGCUGUAUAUUAUAAUAUUUAGGUCUCUGAGUGAAGACGUUGCAGUAAAGUCACCAGCAAAACUGUAAUGGAAAUAGAAAAUUACAUAGUAUUAUCUGUAAAAAUGAAUAGAACAAACAGCUUUCGUUAUAUAAUAAGAAACUGAGAAAAAUGUAUUAAAGGAGUGAGAUAAUGUGAUAAUUAGCGUCCAUUCAAUCAGUGACAUGUUACUAUGCUAUUUAUGCUGUUACUAUAUUGUUACUGUCCUGCAAAAACCUUGAAUUCUAAAUGUUGCCACUUUUUACUUUUUGGCAAUGUAAAUCUGGAAGUUGUUCUUUACAUUGUAUCAAAAGUUAAUCUUUUUAUAUCAACUCCUAUUGAAACUGAAGACUUUUCCCUCCUAUUCUAAAGGGCUAUCUUGGAAAUACAUGGUUUUUGUGUGACAGCGACACCAUGCUUGUUGUUUUUUUUUUUUUUUUUAUUACUAGUAUCCUGCCUACAAUUUAAUCUUAAAGAUGAGCCUGUUUAAUAGGAGAGACCAGAGAUGCUACUAGUGGACAGUUGUACCUUAGGUGCAGAAAGCUUGUUGUUUUGUAAAGUUUCAGAAACUGUUUUGUAUAUGAAGUGUGUCUACACUGGCUUUUUACUGGCAUGUUCUGCAGUCUAUUAAGCUUAUUGUGUGUUAAUAAUAACAAUAAUAAGAGAAUGCUCUUUUUUACUCAUGAUUUCUGUUUCUGAUCUUUGGAAUUCCUAUGCAACAGUAGGUUUAGACGAGGUUUUACUGCUACUUUUCUUUAAAGCAAAUCUUUAAUAAUAAAACUUGUUGCAGAAAUUCA
This 2129-nucleotide long non-coding RNA is filed under the name Astyanax mexicanus (Mexican tetra). RNAcentral's name for it is "lncRNA (ENSAMXG00005000275.1)". The record is from RNAcentral. Lineage: Eukaryota; Metazoa; Chordata; Actinopteri; Characiformes; Acestrorhamphidae.